Long non-coding RNA from Bos indicus x Bos taurus (hybrid cattle), 1017 nucleotides. The record is from Ensembl. NCBI's taxonomy places the organism in Eukaryota, Metazoa, Chordata, Mammalia, Artiodactyla, Bovidae.
AUGGGCGGGAGCAAGAGCAGGGGCGGCCCUGGAGACCCUCUGACCCUGAAGGGAUGGAGACCCCCGACCUCAGCCCCGCCUCUGGUUCCGUGUCACUGUUGGGGACAGAGCUCUUGUGAGCUUAGAGUCUGUCCCUGGUUCUCCAUCCUUUCUGGAAGGAGUCUGUCCAUUCCCAGAGAGAGGCGUGUCUCCAGAAUCUGUGCGGCCGCGGAUCUGAGCUCUGAGCCAUCACGAGGGCCGCCGCCGGGAGGAGCGCCGAGGCGGAGAGCGGGGUGCGCGGCUCCGGAGCCCUGGAGGACACGUGAAGGCGCGCGGGGAGCCGGACCCCGGCUGGUCUGCGGGAGGGGUCCGGCUCCUUGCCGCGGAAGCCGCGCAGGGAGUGAGGAGGCCGCGGAGGGCGACGGAGAGCUGACCGACCCCUGGGUGGGAGACGGCGGCUUCCUCAUAGGACCCGGGCUCCUUCUGUCCACUAGUACCUGGUGGCGCCGAGGAGGCCUGCGGCCCCGGGGAUGCUGUCGCGGGAGGGAGGCGGUCAGAAAACCGGGAUCUGCGGGCCCUGUGCUGGAAACGGGGCGCGCCGGGCCACGAAGCCCCAGAGGAGAUUCGCGGACUUUUGUGGCCGCGACCUCACCUCCGGCUCCGCGGGCAAGGACGCCGCGGGCCCCGUGCGCGGAGCGAGGCCGCGGGGGACUUCUGUGUCCAGGGCGACCUGAGAGGAGGAUCCCCGGGGCUACAGGACCUCCCAGGCCAGGCGCAGCCGGCCGUGGACAGGGAAGCUCCGGAGCUCCUGUGUGUGCUCAGUUUCUCCUCCUCCUGGGGACCCCGAGGACGACUGAAACCCGCCAGGCUCCUCUGUCCGUGGAAUCUUCCACGCAAGAAUUCCGGAGGGGACUGCCGUCUCCUCCUCCAGUGGAUUGUCCCUGGUCAAGCAUCUACCCCGCGUCCUACCGGCGUGUCUUCUGUGUCUCGCUUUGGCAGGCAGAGUCUUUAACUCUUGAGCCUCCUGAGAAGCCCUAG